This 403-nucleotide ribosomal RNA is filed under the name Verrucomicrobiota bacterium. Its description in RNAcentral is "Verrucomicrobia bacterium partial 16S ribosomal RNA". It matches the Rfam family "Bacterial small subunit ribosomal RNA", at positions 355 to 776 of the family's 1533-position model. Lineage: Bacteria; Pseudomonadati; Verrucomicrobiota. The record is from RNAcentral.
UGGGGAAUAUUGCACAAUGGGGGAAAACCUGAUGCAGCGACGCCGCGUGAGCGAAGAAGGCUUUCGAGUCGUAAAGCUCUGUCCUAUGAGAAGAUAAUGACGGUAUCAUAGGAGGAAGCCCUGGCUAAAUACGUGCCAGCAGCCGCGGUAAUACGUAUGGGGCGAGCGUUGUCCGGAAUUAUUGGGCGUAAAGGGUACGUAGGCGGUUUUUUAAGUCAGGUGUCAAAGCGUGGAGCUUAACUCCAUUAAGCACUUGAAACUGAAAGACUUGAGUGAAGGAGAGGAAAGUGGAAUUCCUAGUGUAGCGGUGAAAGGCGUAGAUAUUAGGAGGAAUAACGGUGGCGAAGGCGACUUUCUGGACUUUUACUGACGCUCAGGUACGAAAGCGUGGGGAGCAAACAGG